GAUGAACGCUGGCGGCGUGCUUAACACAUGCAAGUCGAACGAUGAAGCCCAGCUUGCUGGGUGGAUUAGUGGCGAACGGGUGAGUAACACGUGAGUAACCUGCCCUUAACUCUGGGAUAAGCCUGGGAAACUGGGUCUAAUACCGGAUAGGAGCGUCCACCGCAUGGUGGGUGUUGGAAAGAUUUAUCGGUUUUGGAUGGACUCGCGGCCUAUCAGCUUGUUGGCGAGGUAAUGGCUCACCAAGGCGACGACGGGUAGCCGGCCUGAGAGGGUGACCGGCCACACUGGGACUGAGACACGGCCCAGACUCCUACGGGAGGCAGCAGUGGGGAAUAUUGCACAAUGGGCGCGAGCCUGAUGCAGCGACGCCGCGUGAGGGAUGACGGCCUUCGGGUUGUAAACCUCUUUCAGUAGGGAAGAAGCGAAAGUGACGGUACCUGCAGAAGAAGCACCGGCUAACUACGUG
This 466-nucleotide ribosomal RNA is filed under the name uncultured bacterium. Its description in RNAcentral is "partial 16S ribosomal RNA". It matches the Rfam family "Bacterial small subunit ribosomal RNA", at positions 28 to 507 of the family's 1533-position model. The record is from RNAcentral.